RNAcentral lists this long non-coding RNA (5894 nucleotides) under Gallus gallus (chicken). RNAcentral's name for it is "long non-coding RNA NONGGAT011786". Lineage: Eukaryota; Metazoa; Chordata; Aves; Galliformes; Phasianidae. The record is from RNAcentral.
CAAAGGUACACAAAGAGAAAAUAAUUAAUGAAAAAAGACAAUAACAUUUUAUGAGAAGACUAUCCACCUAGUGAAUAAAAAGAGAUAAAAGAGUACAGGAUGUAGUCAAAUUGUAGCAAAGAAUGUGGAAGUAUUAUUCACAACAGUAUUCAAGAGAAAAUAACCAGUGAUGAACUGGAAAAGUACAAAGUAAAGUGAGAUUAAAAUGAGCAGGAAGCCAGAGCUGAGAGAGCAGUAGUGAAGGGAGAAAAGACAGAAAACUAAAACACUGCCCUGCAAACGAUUAAAUAAUAAUAAAAAAAAUCAGUUGAAACUAAAAUAAAAAAACCAAACAUAUAAGAAGAAGACAAAACAAAACAAAAAAUAUUCUAGCAAGUAACAUGCAAGAGCAAUCCGUGGGGUGUGUUGUGCAUUGUAGUAGGGCACAAUAAGAAGCAGAAAAGUCCUGGGCUCAGUGUGGGCGCUGCUCCGCAACAACAGCAGGAAGGAACUACAACGUGGAUGCGUUAGCACCACCGUUUUUGUCAGAAACGCAAAAGAGCCCACCAACCCGUGCGAGGCGGUACGAGGAAAAUGGGCAGUCUCCCAGACAAAACCACGACAACUACCUAGUGUAGUAUAGUGGUGUACCUACGUGGCAUGGAGACAAUAUUUUCAGUUACCUUUAUCAAAUCCUUUUUAAUAAUUCUGUGUCUGUAUGUACUGUAGAAGUUGCAGUGGCGGGCUGACCUCAGCCAGCAGCCCGAUGCACAGCCAGCUACUCGGUCACUCAGUGUCCUCAACGGGACAGAGUAGGGAAGGCGAUGGGCAUUCUCGUGGGUCAAGACACGGACAGGGAGCUCGCUCACCAGAGGCAAAGCAGAAUAGACGUGGGGGAAGUUGCUUGGAGUCAUUGCACAUUUUGGACAGACUUGGAUGGUGAGAAACAAAAGCACCUGACCCCCCUCCCCUCUUCCCCGAGCCCAAAUACCCUCCUUCACGCACGAGUCCUCGACGUCCCCGCAGCGUGAGAGGUGCAGGGGUGAGGGGCGGUAGCGGUCAGUCCCCCCACAGCUCUGCUCGGCCGCUCCUUCCUCCUCCACUUCUCCCCUGUACCUGUGUGGGCUCUGAGCAGGCUGCAGCAUCCCUUGGGGUGUGGUGACGUGCCCCGCCGCCUCCAGCAGCGGCUGCGGGAGAAUCUCUGCCCUAGCGCUUGGAGCACCUCCUUCUGUUUCUCCUCCUGCCCAUGCUUUUUCUCCACCCUUUGCUCCGGCUCCACCUCCUCCUCCUCACGCUCCACCUCCUUCUCCUCCUCCCUCUCCGCCUCCCGCUCCCCAGCUUCUCACUCGGGCAUUCACGUGGCUGUCUCUCACACGGUUCCACCCUCUCUCCCCACUGCUGGGCAGCAUUCUGCCCCUUCUUGCCCUUUCCUCGGGACGUUUCCCCCAGGACGCCUCCACCUUGGGUGUGGGGCUCGGUUGUGCCUUGUGGCAGUGCCGCUGGAGCUGGAUGGAAACGGCUGGUUUUGACAGGGGGCAGCCCUGCCUUCUCCUCAGAGGCAGCUGGCAACCCGCAGUGCCAGCACGUGGGCACCCGCCCCCUACAGCGGGGACGAUUGUAUCAAAAUGUAUAUAUUGUAACAUCAGAGCGCUCUCCGGCCCAGAGGAAUUGGGCAGCCAAUCAGAGGGACUCCUGAGAAAGCGACAGCCUUUGAAAGAGAGGCCAAUCACAGAGCAGUGCGAAAACACGUGGCCUACUAAGUGCCACAAGAUGGUGGCUCCGGACUGUGGAAUUCGGGCUGAAACAAAAUGGCGCCUCCGCUGGCUCAUGAAAUGGCGGCUCCUCACCCUGGAAUGCAGACUGGAACAAAAUGGCGCCUCCCUGUGUAGCCGGCACGAAGGAACGCCCUGCCCGUUUCACAGCUACGCUUUGAGGAGUACAGGCAUAGGUUUAACUGCUCGGUCUGGAUGCCUGUGUGCCUGUUAUGUGUAGUUGUCGCUGCUUAACCUGGCAGAAAGCGGAACACCACGCAGCCUCCCCAGCUGUGAUGGGGAAAGAAUCGGAAGGAUGGAAGUGGGAGCACACGCGGGUUUAGGUAAAGACGGUUUGCUAGGUAAAUGAAAAGGCGUGCCCGCAAGCCAAGGGAAACGUUUGCCGCUUUCCCUUUGACAGGCAACUAUUCAGCCGCUUCUAGGAUCCCAGGGCUCACUGCACGUAACCAGCUCUAUCUAGCAUGUGUGCAGCGUGCUGAUAUGAAGGCGAAAAAAAGCUUUACUUACCUGUAUGAAGGUCUCCCUGCAUUUGAGGAAGGAAUUUCUAUACAUAGACUGCCGUGUCGCGCUGACCUUGGCCAGCAGCCUGAUGCUGUGCGGUCUGUGUCACGUGCCAUCUUCUCGUGCACUCCCAACCUCCUUGCUGGCAGGGCGCCGUAAGAAGCAGAAAAGUCCUGGGCUCAGUGUGGGCGCUGCUCCGCAACAACAGCAGGAAGGAACUACAACGUGGAUGCGUUAGCACCACCGUUUUUGUCAGAAACGCAAAAGAGCCCACCAACCCGUGCGAGGCGGUACGAGGAAAAUGGGCAGUCUCCCAGACAAAACCACGACAACUACCUAGUGUAGUAUAGUGGUGUACCUACGUGGCAUGGAGACAAUAUUUUCAGUUACCUUUAUCAAAUCCUUUUUAAUAAUUCUGUGUCUGUAUGUACUGUAGAAGUUGCAGUGGCGGGCUGACCUCAGCCAGCAGCCCGAUGCACAGCCAGCUACUCGGUCACUCAGUGUCCUCAACGGGACAGAGUAGGGAAGGCGAUGGGCAUUCUCGUGGGUCAAGACACGGACAGGGAGCUCGCUCACCAGAGGCAAAGCAGAAUAGACGUGGGGGAAGUUGCUUGGAGUCAUUGCACAUUUUGGACAGACUUGGAUGGUGAGAAACAAAAGCACCUGACCCCCCUCCCCUCUUCCCCGAGCCCAAAUACCCUCCUUCACGCACGAGUCCUCGACGUCCCCGCAGCGUGAGAGGUGCAGGGGUGAGGGGCGGUAGCGGUCAGUCCCCCCACAGCUCUGCUCGGCCACUCCUUCCUCCUCCACUUCUCCCCUGUACCUGUGUGGGCUCUGAGCAGGCUGCAGCAUCCCUUGGGGUGUGGUGACGUGCCCCGCCGCCUCCAGCAGCGGCUGCGGGAGAAUCUCUGCCCUAGCGCUUGGAGCACCUCCUUCUGUUUCUCCUCCUGCCCAUGCUUUUUCUCCACCCUUUGCUCCGGCUCCACCUCCUCCUCCUCACGCUCCACCUCCUUCUCCUCCUCCCUCUCCGCCUCCCGCUCCCCAGCUUCUCACUCGGGCAUUCACGUGGCUGUCUCUCACACGGUUCCACCCUCUCUCCCCACUGCUGGGCAGCAUUCUGCCCCUUCUUGCCCUUUCCUCGGGACGUUUCCCCCAGGACGCCUCCACCUUGGGUGUGGGGCUCGGUUGUGCCUUGUGGCAGUGCCGCUGGAGCUGGAUGGAAACGGCUGGUUUUGACAGGGGGCAGCCCUGCCUUCUCCUCAGAGGCAGCUGGCAACCCGCAGUGCCAGCACGUGGGCACCCGCCCCCUACAGCGGGGACGAUUGUAUCAAAAUGUAUAUAUUGUAACAUCAGAGCGCUCUCCGGCCCAGAGGAAUUGGGCAGCCAAUCAGAGGGACUCCCUGAGAAAGCGACAGCCUUUGAAAGAGAGGCCAAUCACAGAGCAGUGCGAAAACACGUGGCCUACUAAGUGCCACAAGAUGGUGGCUCCGGACUGUGGAAUUCGGGCUGAAACAAAAUGGCGCCUCCGCUGGCUCAUGAAAUGGCGGCUCCUCACCCUGGAAUGCAGACUGGAACAAAAUGGCGCCUCCCUGUGUAGGUAGGUGGGAGGGAUUUUCUGUCUUGUCCCAUCCUACCUGCGGGCGGGCCCAGUAGCACUGGGUCCUCCCCUUCACCCGCAGCCCUUUCCCCGCCCCUGCACGCAUCCACCCGGCGCCUCCAGCUGGUAGCCAGGAAGAACGGCGGGCUGGAGGCGCCGCUCUGCUGAGCGGCUGCAGGUGCCGGCCGCGCUGCCCGGUGGCUCUCCGUCCGAGUGGUAGGAGGUGCUCUGCUGCACAUCGCGUGUAGCUGAACGAGCCCACAUCUAGGAUUCGGGGCGCAGGGGGGUGGGGGAGCUAGGCAUUCCUUUUGAGGAGCGGUUUUCUGCACCUUUCUAAAUUGCAAGGUGGGCAGCUCCUAUGGUAAAGAGGGAAGAUGAGAGAGCAGGUGAACGUGCGCCUGGUCCCGACCCUGCGUAUGUGCCUUGAAUUGCACUGGCGCUUGUCUGGAUGAUGCGCAUGCUUGUGUCCAAGUGCCUUCUUUUGUGAGUGUGCCAUGUCACAUCCAGGCAGCAAAAUUCAUAGCGCAACGAUUAAGGAAGAAAGGGUUGCAGGCUCAGCUGAAGGUGGCGUUUUGCUCUGUUUUUCCAUGUAUGCAAACGGCGGGGAGCGCUGCCUGACUUUCCCAUCCCCAUGUGAAGCCCCAGGCCUGCCCUAGGAAGCCUGCGUGGUCUGUUAUGCAGGUUGGCAUAAGGCCCGGGGAUGUGUCCGGUCACUCGAGUUGUCAGGGUCGCUCCCGCUGGCAAGUUUGAGGAUCAGUAGCCGGGCAAGAUGUCCCUCCAGGCCGUGGCCCAGCGUGGCCACCUGGGAGGCAUCCUCGUGCCCCCUGUUUUGGCCGAGCGCCCGCCCUCUUGAAGCUCCCCCACCGCUGCUGUGCCAGGGGCUUUUCUGCAGACUGCUAACGGGCGGGUCGCCGACCUGGCCUUCUGCUCACGUUGGACUGUUUCUAUUCCCACUGAAACUUGAAUUCUUUAUUUUGUUAGCCGGCACGAAGGAACGCCCUGCCCGUUUCACAGCUACGCUUUGAGGAGUACAGGCAUAGGUUUAACUGCUCGGUCUGGAUGCCUGUGUGCCUGUUAUGUGUAGUUGUCGCUGCUUAACCUGGCAGAAAGCGGAACACCACGCAGCCUCCCCAGCUGUGAUGGGGAAAGAAUCGGAAGGAUGGAAGUGGGAGCACACGCGGGUUUAGGUAAAGACGGUUUGCUAGGUAAAUGAAAAGGCGUGCCCGCAAGCCAAGGGAAACGUUUGCCGCUUCCCUUUGACAGGCAACUAUUCAGCCGCUUCUAGGAUCCCAGGGCUCACUGCACGUAACCAGCUCUUAUCUAGCACGGUGUGCAGCGUGGCUGAAUAUGAAGGCGAAAAAAAGCUUUACUUACCUGUAUGAAGGUCUCCCUGCAUUUGAAUGUAUGUGUAAUUUCUAUACAUAGACUGCCGUGUCGCGCCGACCGUGGCCAGCAGCCUGAUGCUGUGCGGUCUGUGUCGCGUGCCAUCUUCUCGUGCACUGCCAACCUCCUUGCUGGCAGGGCGCCGUAAGAAGCAGAAAAGUCCUGGGCUCAGUGUGGGCGCUGCUCCGCAACAACAGCAGGAAGGAACUACAACGUGGAUGCGUUAGCACCACCGUUUUUGUCAGAAACGCAAAAGAGCCCACCAACCCGUGCGAGGCGGUACGAGGAAAAUGGGCAGUCUCCCAGACAAAACCACGACAACUACCUAGUGUAGUAUAGUGGUGUACCUACGUGGCAUGGAGACAAUAUUUUCAGUUACCUUUAUCAAAUCCUUUUUAAUAAUUCUGUGUCUGUAUGUACUGUAGAAGUUGCAGUGGCGGGCUGACCUCAGCCAGCAGCCCGAUGCACAGCCAGCUACUCGGUCACUCAGUGUCCUCAACGGGACAGAGUAGGGAAGGCGAUGGGCAUUCUCAUGGGUCAAGACACGGACAGGGAGCUCGCUCACCAGAGGCAAAGCAGAAUAGACGUGGGGGAAGUUGCUUGGAGUCAUUGCACAUUUUGGACAGACUUGGAUGGUGAGAAACAAAAGCACCUGACCCCCC